This is an unclassified non-coding RNA of Drosophila serrata, 1277 nucleotides long. Lineage: Eukaryota; Metazoa; Arthropoda; Insecta; Diptera; Drosophilidae. The record is from RefSeq and is a predicted model, not a curated record.
GCCGCAGCGGAAGCAGCAGCCCCUACGAUGGAAGCGGCGGGCGGCGUACCGGAAAGCGGCAAUGCUUCACCAGCCCAAGGUGGAGAAGGAGCUCCUGUGGCAGAAGAAGGAUCACCAGCCGCCGAGGAAGGAGCAGCAGUGCCACAAGCAGCCACCGAUACGGCACUAGCGGCCGAUGGAGCUAUCCCUGAAGCAGCACCGGAGGUAUCAGCUUCCGCUGUAGGCAGCUGCACCUGAGGUGGUGGCCGCAGCGGAAGCAGCAGCCCCUACGAUGGAAGCUGCGGGCGGCGCACCGGAAAGCGGCAAUGCUUCACCAGCCCAAGGUGGAGAAGGAGCUCCUGUGGCAGAAGAAGGAUCACCAGCCGCCGAGGAAGGAGCAGCAGUGCCACAAGCAGCCGCCGAUACGGCAGUAGCGGCCAAUGGAGCUGUCCUUGAAGCAACACCGGAGGUACCAGCUACCGCUGUAGGCAGCAGCUCCAGAAGCGGUGGCCGCAGCGGAAGCAGCAGCCCCAACGACGAGCUUCGGGCAGCUUACCGGAAGGCGGAGAGGCUGCACCAGCAGAAGGCGGAGAAGGAGCUCCAGUGGCAGAAGGAUAAGGAUCACCAGCCGCUGAGGGAGGAGCAGCAGUGCCACAAACAACCGCCAGCAGAAAUUUAUCGUCAUCUAAGUGUGACCAGCUAAGGUUCAUUACAUGUCCUUCGAAAACUCUUUAUCAUCGCUUCGUGUACAGCAGGAGCUGGCCCGUUUCGAGUAUCUUGUCACCGAGGGCAGCAUAUCCGAUGUCCAGAAGAUGGCCGGUCUGCCGUGUCUGCAAUGGAGCUGUGCCUUAACGCCAGCGAUGGCUUCGGCCAUGAAGCCACCACCACCGCCGCCCUGUCCGGGUGCACCGCUCCGGCCACCGUGCAUGACUCCAGCAAUGAGUCCUGUGCCACCCAAGGUGAAGCUGCCAAAGAAGAACGUGCCGCAGCCCACGAAUCUAUAAAACAGCUUCAACUGGUCCAAGCUGCCGGAUGCCAAGCUCCAGGUCACCGUCUGGAGCGAGCUUGGCGAGAGCGAGUUGUAUAACAUGGAGUUGGAGUCGAGCCGAUACGGCAGUAACGGCCGAUGGAGCUGUCCCUCAAGAAGCACGGAGGUACCAGCUUCCGCUGUAGGCAGCAGCGGAAGCAGCAGCCCCUACGACGAAAGCGGCGGGCGGCGUACCGGAAAGCGGCAAGGCUGCACCUGCCCAAGGUGGAGAAGGAGCUCCUGUGGCAGAAGAAGGAUCACCAGCCGCCGA